Molecule: ribosomal RNA, 253 nt
Filed under: uncultured bacterium
Lineage: Bacteria
Description: partial 16S ribosomal RNA
Rfam family: Bacterial small subunit ribosomal RNA
Source: RNAcentral
UACAGAGGUCUCAAGCGUUGUUCGGAUUCAUUGGGCGUAAAGGGUGCGUAGGUGGCGCCGUAAGUCAGGUGUGAAAUUUCGGAGCUUAACUCCGAAACUGCAUUUGAUACUUCGGUGCUUGAGGACUGGAGAGGAGACUGGAAUUUACGGUGUAGCAGUGAAAUGCGUAGAGAUCGUAAGGAAGACCAGUGGCGAAGGCGGGUCUCUGGACAGUUCCUGACACUGAGGCACGAAGGCCAGGGGAGCAAACGGG